This 542-nucleotide ribosomal RNA is filed under the name Salmonella enterica. Its description in RNAcentral is "partial 23S ribosomal RNA". It matches the Rfam family "Bacterial large subunit ribosomal RNA", at positions 711 to 1250 of the family's 2925-position model. Lineage: Bacteria; Pseudomonadati; Pseudomonadota; Gammaproteobacteria; Enterobacterales; Enterobacteriaceae. The record is from RNAcentral.
AGACCCGAAACCCGGUGAUCUAGCCAUGGGCAGGUUGAAGGUUGGGUAACACUAACUGGAGGACCGAACCGACUAAUGUUGAAAAAUUAGCGGAUGACCUGUGGCUGGGGGUGAAAGGCCAAUCAAACCGGGAGAUAGCUGGUUCUCCCCGAAAGCUAUUUAGGUAGCGCCUCGUGAAUUCAUCUCCGGGGGUAGAGCACUGUUUCGGCUAGGGGGCCAUCCCGGCUUACCAACCCGAUGCAAACUGCGAAUACCGGAGAAUGUUAUCACGGGAGACACACGGCGGGUGCUAACGUCCGUCGUGAAGAGGGAAACAACCCAGACCGCCAGCUAAGGUCCCAAAGUCAUGGUUAAGUGGGAAACGAUGUGGGAAGGCCCAGACAGCCAGGAUGUUGGCUUAGAAGCAGCCAUCAUUUAAAGAAAGCGUAAUAGCUCACUGGUCGAGUCGGCCUGCGCGGAAGAUGUAACGGGGCUAAACCAUGCACCGAAGCUGCGGCAGCGACGCUGAUGCGUUGUUGGGUAGGGGAGCGUUCUGUAAGCCU